CCUACGGGGGGCAGCAGUGGGGAAUAUUGGACAAUGGGGGCAACCCUGAUCCAGCCAUGCCGCGUGUGUGAAGAAGGCCCUCGGGUUGUAAAGCACUUUCAGUGAGGAAGAACGCCUGGUGGUUAAUACCCAUCAGGAAAGACAUCACUCACAGAAGAAGCACCGGCUAACUCCGUGCCAGCAGCCGCGGUAAUACGGAGGGUGCGAGCGUUAAUCGGAAUUACUGGGCGUAAAGCGCGCGUAGGUGGCUUGAUAAGCCGGUUGUGAAAGCCCCGGGCUCAACCUGGGAACGGCAUCCGGAACUGUCAAGCUAGAGUGCAGGAGAGGAAGGUAGAAUUCCCGGUGUAGUGGAGAAAUGCGUAGAGAUCGGGAGGAAUACCAGUGGCGAAGGCGGCCUUCUGGACUGACACUGACACUGAGGUGCGAAAGCGUGGGUAGCAAACAGGAUUAGAUACCCCGGUAGUC
RNAcentral lists this ribosomal RNA (465 nucleotides) under Vreelandella stevensii. RNAcentral describes it as "partial 16S ribosomal RNA". It matches the Rfam family "Bacterial small subunit ribosomal RNA", at positions 338 to 795 of the family's 1533-position model. Lineage: Bacteria; Pseudomonadati; Pseudomonadota; Gammaproteobacteria; Oceanospirillales; Halomonadaceae. The record is from RNAcentral.